UAGCUCAUUGGUAGAGCGGUCGAUUGUUAACCGAUUGGUCGUAGGUUUGAAUCCUAU
RNAcentral lists this transfer RNA (57 nucleotides) under Cucumis melo (muskmelon). It matches the Rfam family "tRNA", at positions 8 to 63 of the family's 71-position model. Rfam says of the family: Transfer RNA (tRNA) molecules are approximately 80 nucleotides in length. Their secondary structure includes four short double-helical elements and three loops (D, anti-codon, and T loops). RNAcentral also lists the same sequence under 1 other name. Lineage: Eukaryota; Viridiplantae; Streptophyta; Magnoliopsida; Cucurbitales; Cucurbitaceae. The record is from Rfam by way of RNAcentral.